RNAcentral lists this ribosomal RNA (833 nucleotides) under Microbacterium sp. RNAcentral describes it as "bacterial SSU rRNA". It matches the Rfam family "Bacterial small subunit ribosomal RNA", at positions 56 to 902 of the family's 1533-position model. Lineage: Bacteria; Bacillati; Actinomycetota; Actinomycetes; Micrococcales; Microbacteriaceae. The record is from RNAcentral.
UGCAGUCGUACGGUGAGCCAGCUUGCUGGGUGGAUCAGUGGCGAACGGGUGAGUAACACGUGAGCAACCUGCCCCUGACUCUGGGAUAAGCGCUGGAAACGGCGUCUAAUACUGGAUACGAGUAGCGACCGCAUGGUCAGUUACUGGAAAGAUUUAUUGGUUGGGGAUGGGCUCGCGGCCUAUCAGCUUGUUGGUGAGGUAAUGGCUCACCAAGGCGUCGACGGGUAGCCGGCCUGAGAGGGUGACCGGCCACACUGGGACUGAGACACGGCCCAGACUCCUACGGGAGGCAGCAGUGGGGAAUAUUGCACAAUGGGCGCAAGCCUGAUGCAGCAACGCCGCGUGAGGGAUGACGGCCUUCGGGUUGUAAACCUCUUUUAGCAGGGAAGAAGCGAAAGUGACGGUACCUGCAGAAAAAGCGCCGGCUAACUACGUGCCAGCAGCCGCGGUAAUACGUAGGGCGCAAGCGUUAUCCGGAAUUAUUGGGCGUAAAGAGCUCGUAGGCGGUUUGUCGCGUCUGCUGUGAAAUCCGGAGGCUCAACCUCCGGCCUGCAGUGGGUACGGGCAGACUAGAGUGCGGUAGGGGAGAUUGGAAUUCCUGGUGUAGCGGUGGAAUGCGCAGAUAUCAGGAGGAACACCGAUGGCGAAGGCAGAUCUCUGGGCCGUAACUGACGCUGAGGAGCGAAAGGGUGGGGAGCAAACAGGCUUAGAUACCCUGGUAGUCCACCCCGUAAACGUUGGGAACUAGUUGUGGGGUCCAUUCCACGGAUUCCGUGACGCAGCUAACGCAUUAAGUUCCCGCCUGGGGAGUACGGGCCGCAAGGCUAAAACUC